This 63-nucleotide transfer RNA is filed under the name Penthicodes caja. RNAcentral's name for it is "tRNA-Tyr". Lineage: Eukaryota; Metazoa; Arthropoda; Insecta; Hemiptera; Fulgoridae. The record is from RNAcentral.
AAUGGAGUGGCUGAUUAUAGUGAUAAAUUGUAAAUUUAUUUAAGGUUUAUUUACCCUUCAUUA